CCCUUAGAUGUUCUGGGCCGCACGCGUGCUACACUGAGUGGAUCAGCGGGUCAGGUUGCGCGAAAGCGUUUCCUAAUCUUUAAAUCCGCUCGUGAUGGGGAUUGACGGUUGCAAUUUUCUGUCAUGAACGAGGAAUACCUUGUAAGCGCGGGUCAUCAUCCCGCGCUGAAUACGUCCCUGCCCUUUGUACACACCGCCCGUCGCUCCUACCGAUUGAGUGGCCCGGUGAGGCUUUGGGAUCUGAGCGGAAAGAGCGUUUCGCUGUUUCUGCUCGGAAAACUCAGUCGAACCUUAUCAUUUAGAGGAAGGAGAAGUCGUACCA
RNAcentral lists this ribosomal RNA (322 nucleotides) under uncultured eukaryote. RNAcentral describes it as "partial 18S ribosomal RNA". It matches the Rfam family "Eukaryotic small subunit ribosomal RNA", at positions 1470 to 1796 of the family's 1831-position model. The record is from RNAcentral.